GAUGAACGCUGGCGGCGUGCCUAAUACAUGCAAGUCGAGCGAACGGACGAGAAGUUUGCUUCUUUGAUGUUAGCCGCGGACGGGUGUGUAACAUGUGGAUAACCCACCUAUAUGUCUGGUAAAACUUGGGGAAACCGGAGAUAACCCCGUAUAAUAUUUUGAACCGUAGGGUUAAAAAGAAAAUUACGGCUUUGCUGUCACUACUCGCUGCAUCCGGGCUGCAUUAGGUAGUUGGUACGGUAACGGCUUAUCAAGGCAAGGAUGCAUAGCCGACCUGAGAGGGGGGUCGGCGACACGAGAACUGAGACACGGUCAAGGGUCCUGCGGGAGGCAGCAGUAGGGAAUCGUCCGCAAUAGGGGAAAGCCUGACGGAGCGAGCCCGCGUGAGUGGUGGAGAUCUUCGGAUCGUAAAACCCUGUUAUUAGGGGAAAACAGAUGUGUAAGUAGAUGAACACAUAUUGACGGUACCUAAUCAAAAAGCCACGGCUAACUACGUG
This 497-nucleotide ribosomal RNA is filed under the name uncultured bacterium. RNAcentral describes it as "partial 16S ribosomal RNA". It matches the Rfam family "Bacterial small subunit ribosomal RNA", at positions 28 to 507 of the family's 1533-position model. The record is from RNAcentral.